This 867-nucleotide ribosomal RNA is filed under the name bacterium W15M1a_F. RNAcentral's name for it is "bacterial SSU rRNA". It matches the Rfam family "Bacterial small subunit ribosomal RNA", at positions 56 to 903 of the family's 1533-position model. The record is from RNAcentral.
UGCAAGUCGAGCGGACAGAUGGGAGCUUGCUCCCUGAUGUUAGCGGCGGACGGGUGAGUAACACGUGGGUAACCUGCCUGUAAGACUGGGAUAACUCCGGGAAACCGGGGCUAAUACCGGAUGGUUGUCUGAACCGCAUGGUUCAGACAUAAAAGGUGGCUUCGGCUACCACUUACAGAUGGACCCGCGGCGCAUUAGCUAGUUGGUGAGGUAACGGCUCACCAAGGCGACGAUGCGUAGCCGACCUGAGAGGGUGAUCGGCCACACUGGGACUGAGACACGGCCCAGACUCCUACGGGAGGCAGCAGUAGGGAAUCUUCCGCAAUGGACGAAAGUCUGACGGAGCAACGCCGCGUGAGUGAUGAAGGUUUUCGGAUCGUAAAGCUCUGUUGUUAGGGAAGAACAAGUGCCGUUCAAAUAGGGCGGCACCUUGACGGUACCUAACCAGAAAGCCACGGCUAACUACGUGCCAGCAGCCGCGGUAAUACGUAGGUGGCAAGCGUUGUCCGGAAUUAUUGGGCGUAAAGGGCUCGCAGGCGGUUUCUUAAGUCUGAUGUGAAAGCCCCCGGCUCAACCGGGGAGGGUCAUUGGAAACUGGGGAACUUGAGUGCAGAAGAGGAGAGUGGAAUUCCACGUGUAGCGGUGAAAUGCGUAGAGAUGUGGAGGAACACCAGUGGCGAAGGCGACUCUCUGGUCUGUAACUGACGCUGAGGAGCGAAAGCGUGGGGAGCGAACAGGAUUAGAUACCCUGGUAGUCCACGCCGUAAACGAUGAGUGCUAAGUGUUAGGGGGGUUUCCGCCCCUUAGUGCUGCAGCUAACGCAUUAAGCACUCCGCCUGGGGAGUACGGUCGCAAGACUGAAACUCA